This 253-nucleotide ribosomal RNA is filed under the name uncultured bacterium. RNAcentral's name for it is "partial 16S ribosomal RNA". It matches the Rfam family "Bacterial small subunit ribosomal RNA", at positions 524 to 776 of the family's 1533-position model. The record is from RNAcentral.
UACGUAGGGUGCAAGCGUUGUCCGGAAUUAUUGGGCGUAAAGAGCUCGUAGGCGGUUUGUCGCGUCUGCUGUGAAAACUCGGGGCUUAACCCUGAGCCUGCAGUGGGUACGGGCAGACUAGAGUGUGGUAGAGGAGAUCGGAAUUCCUGGUGUAGCGGUGGAAUGCGCAGAUAUCAGGAGGAACACCGGUGGCGAAGGCGGAUCUCUGGGCCAUAACUGACGCUGAGGAGCGAAAGCAUGGGGAGCGAACAGG